UCCCCGGUAGCUCAGUUGGUAGAGCGUCCGGCUGUUAACCGGAUGGUCGCUGGUUCGAGUCCGGCCCGGGGAG
This 73-nucleotide transfer RNA is filed under the name Binatia bacterium. Its description in RNAcentral is "tRNA-Asn". It matches the Rfam family "tRNA". From Rfam's summary of the family: Transfer RNA (tRNA) molecules are approximately 80 nucleotides in length. Their secondary structure includes four short double-helical elements and three loops (D, anti-codon, and T loops). Further hydrogen bonds mediate the characteristic L-shaped molecular structure. tRNAs have two regions of fundamental functional importance: the anti-codon, which is responsible for specific mRNA codon recognition, and the 3' end, to which the tRNAs corresponding amino acid is attached (by aminoacyl-tRNA synthetases). tRNAs cope with the degeneracy of the genetic code in two manners: having more than one tRNA (with a specific anti-codon) for a particular amino acid; and 'wobble' base-pairing, i.e. permitting non-standard base-pairing at the 3rd anti-codon position. The record is from RNAcentral. Lineage: Bacteria; Candidatus Binatota; Binatia (SeqCode).